This is a long non-coding RNA of Ictalurus punctatus (channel catfish), 1576 nucleotides long. The record is from Ensembl. Lineage: Eukaryota; Metazoa; Chordata; Actinopteri; Siluriformes; Ictaluridae.
UUAUAGACUGAUCAUUUCUUUGUCAGUGGGCAAACGUACAAAAUCAGCAGGGGAUCAAAUACUUUUUUCCCCUCACUGUAUCAGUUCCAAUAGUUUGUUUGUCCUUGAUAACCUAGUUUGAUCUAUUUUUCAUUAUUUGUUUCCAGCAAAGACUCAGUUGCUGCAGUGUAAUUUAACUGUGUGCUUCACACACCCUGAUAAGGUAGCAUGUCUGCACUCUGGUGUAGAAGACUCAAUGGGGCUGACAGCAUCUCCAGAAUUGGCAGAGUCAAGAGAUAAUGGUAGUAAGAGAAAUAAAAUUAGCAGUUAAAUGUAUUAAAAGUUGUUAGGCAUGAGACAAUCAUUAAAACCACAAUCCCCAGUGAAGUCCACUUUUUAUAUAAAUUAUUACACCCAAAAUGAAAAAUCCACGCAAAUGCACUGGUUAUAAACUUACAGAUUUAUAAACUUACUAUAAAUUAAAGUUCACGUAAUAGUUGUCUUCAAUAUGUUCCAUGUACCAUGACAAAUAGUAUGUUUGGCUUGAUUACAUCUUAAUAUGCUGCUGGCUGAAAGCUUUUGAGACUGCUCAGGCUUAGAUCAUAUAUCUGCUACUGCUGUUUUUGAGUUAGAUUAAAUGGAUACCUCUAUUUUUUUAGAUGGAUAUCUUUGUAAUCUGCUUAUGUCAACUUGUAAUCUGUUUAAGAGUUUGUUAACAAACAACUGAUUGUACUUUGUAAAUGUUGCCUUUUAUUUUGUACCAUGCAAAAUUUAUUGUAUUGUACUGUAGUGACAAUAAAUAUAUUAUUUUCCCAGCAAUCACAGCAGUAGCCAGGCUAAACUUUGGUAUUCUAGAUAUUUAGUUUUUUUUCUUGCUUGUUGGUAAACUGAAAAUUAUUCCAAGGCUGUGCCACUGUUAUUUAAUUCCCCGUUUUCUCACCUUAACAGUGGCAUAUUCCUCACGUUGCUAUUUUGUCUCAAGGAAUACUUCAGAUUCCCUUCAUGUCAGCAGUUUUACAUGCUACUGAAAAUUCAUGUCCUGUGAUUUGAUUCAGCGUUUUUGUUUUAAAAUCUGGGUUUUAGUUUGUGUUUAUAAUGCUAUGACACAGAUGUAUGUAGUAAGUAUGCAUUAAAUUCCAGGGUUUAAUAGAAUUACUGUUUCUUUUGCUCUUAUGUAUAUACAGCGGGGUCCAAAAGUCUGAGUUUUUAAAAAUAUUUUAUUUAAAAUAAAAGGUUUUUUAUUUUGAAAUAUUUAAAACAAAGAAAGUGUUUAACAUGUUGAAUAUUUUAUAUUCCAGAUUCUGCACUAUUUUUAGGUCCCUAUGUAAAUGUAAGCAAAUUUGUGAUAUUGACCAUGUUAACUGCUGUGUACAAAAGGUGAGAUUUUCCUCAGGUUUUCCAGAUGAAACUCUGAUGAGUCUGAUCUAAACUUGUGGAGUCCAUGCUCGCUUGAGUGCACACGGUCAUUAAAGCAAACAGGGGACAUAUCAAAUACUAAGAAACUCUGAAAUUAUUGUAAAUAUUUGAAUGAUUCUACUUUUCUUUCAAGUUAUGGUCAAUAAUUUGUAAUGAAAAUUGUUGUGUUAAUUUAGAAAAG